UACGGAGGGAGCUAGCGUUGUUCGGAAUUACUGGGCGUAAAGCGCACGUAGGCGGCUUUGUAAGUUAGAGGUGAAAGCCCGGGGCUCAACUCCGGAACUGCCUUUAAAACUGCAUCGCUUGAAUCCAGGAGAGGUGAGUGGAAUUCCGAGUGUAGAGGUGAAAUUCGUAGAUAUUCGGAAGAACACCAGUGGCGAAGGCGGCUCACUGGACUGGUAUUGACGCUGAGGUGCGAAAGCGUGGGGAGCAAACAGGG
This 254-nucleotide ribosomal RNA is filed under the name uncultured bacterium. RNAcentral describes it as "partial 16S ribosomal RNA". It matches the Rfam family "Bacterial small subunit ribosomal RNA", at positions 524 to 777 of the family's 1533-position model. The record is from RNAcentral.